RNAcentral lists this ribosomal RNA (513 nucleotides) under uncultured Hanseniaspora. RNAcentral's name for it is "eukaryotic LSU rRNA". It matches the Rfam family "Eukaryotic large subunit ribosomal RNA", at positions 62 to 574 of the family's 3401-position model. Lineage: Eukaryota; Fungi; Ascomycota; Saccharomycetes; Saccharomycodales; Saccharomycodaceae. The record is from RNAcentral.
AAACCAACUGGGAUUACCUUAGUAACGGCGAGUGAAGCGGUAAAAGCUCAAAUUUGAAAUCUGGUACUUUCAGUGCCCGAGUUGUAAUUUGUAGAAUUUGUCUUUGAUUAGGUCCUUGUCUAUGUUCCUUGGAACAGGACGUCAUAGAGGGUGAGAAUCCCGUUUGGCGAGGAUACCUUUUCUCUGUAAGACUUUUUCGAAGAGUCGAGUUGUUUGGGAAUGCAGCUCAAAGUGGGUGGUAAAUUCCAUCUAAAGCUAAAUAUUGGCGAGAGACCGAUAGCGAACAAGUACAGUGAUGGAAAGAUGAAAAGAACUUUGAAAAGAGAGUGAAAAAGUACGUGAAAUUGUUGAAAGGGAAGGGCAUUUGAUCAGACAUGGUGUUUUUGCAUGCACUCGCCUCUCGUGGGCUUGGGCCUCUCAAAAAUUUCACUGGGCCAACAUCAAUUCUGGCAGCAGGAUAAAUCAUUAAGACGUAGCUACCUCGGUAGUGUUAUAGCUUUUUGGAAUACUGCU